CUUUGACCGCUCUGAGGAAAGUCCGGGCCUCACAGAGCACGGUAACUGCUAACGGCAGCCGAGGGUGACCUCAGGGAAAGUGCAACAGAAAACAAACCGCCGCAGCAAUGCGGUAAGGAUGAAACGGCGAGGCAAGAGCUCACCAGCGCAUGGGUGACCAUGCGGCUUUGUAAACCCUACCGGAAGCAACGCCUAUAUGGGACGUACAGCGCUGCUCGCGUGUCCCGAAGGCGGCAUGAACCUC
This 244-nucleotide RNase P RNA is filed under the name Vibrio cholerae. RNAcentral describes it as "partial RNase P RNA component class A". It matches the Rfam family "Bacterial RNase P class A", at positions 30 to 288 of the family's 367-position model. Rfam says of the family: Ribonuclease P (RNase P) is a ubiquitous endoribonuclease, found in archaea, bacteria and eukarya as well as chloroplasts and mitochondria. Its best characterised activity is the generation of mature 5'-ends of tRNAs by cleaving the 5'-leader elements of precursor-tRNAs. Lineage: Bacteria; Pseudomonadati; Pseudomonadota; Gammaproteobacteria; Vibrionales; Vibrionaceae. The record is from RNAcentral.